CCUACGGGAGGCAGCAGUGGGGAAUAUUGCUCAAUGGGCGAAAGCCUGAUGCAGCAACGCCGCGUGGGCGAUGAAGGCCUUCGGGUUGUAAAGCUCUUUUCUUAAGGAAGAUAAUGACGGUAUUUAAGGAGUAAGCCCCGGCUAACUACGUGCCAGCAGCCGCGGUAAUAAGUAGGGGGCUAGCGUUACCCGGAAUCACUGGGCGUAAAGGGUGCGUAGGAGGGGUAAUAAGUCAGAGGUGAAAGGCUGCAGCGUAAAUGAAGAAAGGCAUUUGAAACUGGUAAUUUGUAGUGUGGGAGAGGUAGGUGGAAUGCGUGGUGGAGGGGGAAAAUACGGAGAGAGCAAGAGGAACAAUCAUUGCGAAGGCGACCCACUGGAACAUUACUGACGCUGAGGCACGAAAGCGUGGGGAGCAAACAGGAUUAGAUACACCUGUAGUC
RNAcentral lists this ribosomal RNA (440 nucleotides) under uncultured bacterium. RNAcentral describes it as "partial 16S ribosomal RNA". It matches the Rfam family "Bacterial small subunit ribosomal RNA", at positions 338 to 795 of the family's 1533-position model. The record is from RNAcentral.